Molecule: ribosomal RNA, 346 nt
Filed under: uncultured eukaryote
Lineage: Eukaryota
Description: SSU rRNA
Rfam family: Eukaryotic small subunit ribosomal RNA
Source: RNAcentral
AUAGCGUAUAUUUAAGUUGUUGCAGUUAAAAAGCUCGUAGUUCGACUUUGGGCCGGGUCGGAUGGUCUGCCUAACGGUAUGUACUGUCUGGCUGGGCCUUACCUCUUGGUGAGCCGGCAUGCCCUUCACUGGGUGUGUUGGGGAACCAGGACUUUUACCUUGAGAAAAUUAGAGUGUUCAAAGCAGGCUUAUGCUCGAAUACAUUAGCAUGGAAUAAUAAAAUAGGACGUGCGGUUCUAUUUUGUUGGUUUCUAGAGUCGCCGUAAUGAUUAAUAGGGAUAGUUGGGGGCAUUAGUAUUCAGUUGCUAGAGGUGAAAUUCUUGGAUUUACUGAAGACUAACUACUG